CCACUUUCCAUUCUUGUAGAACACUAACGUAAGUGACGGGGCGAGACAACUCCUUCCAUAGACUGCCUACUCCUGGGAAGAGGUCAGCCGGAUUGUGGAGGACGGAGAUCGACGGCCAGGUCCGGACUACAUGAUAAAUGUUUUCAAGGAGUAGACCCGAAACUCGAACCUGUGUCCUCCAGAGUGAAACUUGAAGCGUUUCCAUGAGGCCAAUCCGGCCGACCAUAAACCUGUAUUUAAAAUGUGAAGUAACAAUUACUAAUGUUUAUAAAAGAAAAGACUAACUCUUAAUCCAUGAGUAUAAUUUUUAGUGAACCCGAAUAUUUUUAUUUGAAACUCGAAGUCUUCGGGUAAAAAUGACAUUGUUGGCAACCCUACUCCAGAUUCAAGUCUCGGAUCCCAGCCUUUGAAAAUUUUUAUCAUGGAGCUCGAGUUUGUCCCGUCGAUCCCUUUUCUUCAUAAUCUAGCUGACCUCUCUGCAAGAGUGGGCAGCUUGUGGAAGACUUGUUCUCCCCGCUAUUUAGAAAGGGGGGAGCUAAGAGACGGGCGUAAAAGAAAGGGAAAGAGCAGUCGGAUUGUGGAGGAAAUGAAAUCGACGGGCUGAAAAUAGACCCCACGAUAAACAUUUUCAAGGGAGUAGGACAUGAGAUUCGAUCCCGGUUCCUCCAGAGUGGAAAGCAAAAGCGUUUUCACACGGCUAAUUCGGUCAACUGUCGACUCCACAUUUGGAUUGAACUAUAAUGACGUCAUAAUUAUACUCCAAGAAUUUAUCGCUAUGGCAUUCAACUUUCCAAUUUCAUUUAGUAGCAUUUAUAAAUGCAAAAUAUUGUUUACAGGGCCGCACCAUUCAUAGAGACAAGGCGUGUGGCGCACAAUCGUCUAAAGGUGUAGCGAAGUAUUAAAAUUUUACAAAUUUUGAAAAAGUUAUUUUUUAGUAUAAAAAUAUUUGAUAUAACACGCAAUGGCGUUCCCAGAGGGGCCGGUUUCCUCAGGCACCAAGUUAAAUAAGCAAGAGCAUGGAAUAUCAUUAUUAUUCACUAAAUAUUUGUAUAAAAAAUUUGUAUCAUUUUCAGUUCUUAAAAAGAUUAUUUAAGAAAAUG
This 1100-nucleotide long non-coding RNA is filed under the name Androctonus crassicauda. Lineage: Eukaryota; Metazoa; Arthropoda; Arachnida; Scorpiones; Buthidae. The record is from RNAcentral.